This 253-nucleotide ribosomal RNA is filed under the name uncultured bacterium. RNAcentral's name for it is "partial 16S ribosomal RNA". It matches the Rfam family "Bacterial small subunit ribosomal RNA", at positions 524 to 776 of the family's 1533-position model. The record is from RNAcentral.
UACGUAGGGGGCUAGCGUUGUCCGGAAUCAUUGGGCGUAAAGCGCGUGUAGGCGGUCCGGUAAGUCCGCUGUGAAAACUCGAGGCUCAACCUCGAGCUGUCGGUGGAAACCACAUGGCUAGAGUCCGGAAGAGGAGAGUGGAAUUCCUGGUGUAGCGGUGAAAUGCGCAGAUAUCAGGAAGAACACCAAUGGCGAAGGCAGCUCUCUGGGACGGUACUGACACUGAGACGCGAAAGCGUGGGGAGCAAACAGG